AGUGAACGCUGGCGGUAGGCCUAACACAUGCAAGUCGAACGGCAGCACAGGAGAGCUUGCUCUCUGGGUGGCGAGUGGCGGACGGGUGAGGAAUACAUCGGAAUCUACUUUUUCGUGGGGGAUAACGUAGGGAAACUUACGCUAAUACCGCAUACGACCUACGGGUGAAAGCAGGGGAUCUUCGGACCUUGCGCGAUUGAAUGAGCCGAUGUCGGAUUAGCUGGUUGGCGGGGUAAAGGCCCACCAAGGCGACGAUCCGUAGCUGGUCUGAGAGGAUGAUCAGCCACACUGGAACUGAGACACGGUCCAGACUCCUACGGGAGGCAGCAGUGGGGAAUAUUGGACAAUGGGCGCAAGCCUGAUCCAGCCAUACCGCGUGGGUGAAGAAGGCCUUCGGGUUGUAAAGCCCUUUUGUUGGGAAAGAAAUCCAGCUGGUUAAUACCCGGUUGGGAUGACGGUACCCAAAGAAUAAGCACCGGCUAACCUCGUGCCAGCCGCCGCAGUAA
Molecule: ribosomal RNA, 506 nt
Filed under: uncultured bacterium
Lineage: Bacteria
Description: partial 16S ribosomal RNA
Rfam family: Bacterial small subunit ribosomal RNA
Source: RNAcentral